This 397-nucleotide ribosomal RNA is filed under the name uncultured bacterium. Its description in RNAcentral is "partial 16S ribosomal RNA". It matches the Rfam family "Bacterial small subunit ribosomal RNA", at positions 523 to 918 of the family's 1533-position model. The record is from RNAcentral.
AUACGUAGGUGACAAGCGUUAUCCGGAUUUACUGGGCGUAAAGGGCGUGUAGGCGGUCUUGCAAGUCAGAAGUGAAAUUCCUGAGCUCAACUCGGGCGCUGCUUCUGAAACUGCAGGACUUGAGUGCUGGAGGGGAUAGCGGAAUUCCUAGUGGAGCGGUAAAAUGCGCAGAUAUUAGGAAGAACACCGGUGGCGAAGGCGGCUAUCUGGACAGUAACUGACGCUGAGGCGCGAAAGCGUGGGGAGCAAACAGGAUUAGAUACCCUGGUAGUCCACGCCGUAAACGAUAAAUACUAGGUGUAGGGGGUAUCGACUCCCUCUGUGCCGCAGUUAACACAAUAAGUAUUCCGCCUGGGGAGUACGGCCGCAAGGUUGAGACUCAAAGGAAUUGACGGGG